RNAcentral lists this ribosomal RNA (420 nucleotides) under bacterium. Its description in RNAcentral is "partial 16S ribosomal RNA". It matches the Rfam family "Bacterial small subunit ribosomal RNA", at positions 355 to 776 of the family's 1533-position model. The record is from RNAcentral.
UGGGGGAUAUUGCACAAUGGGCGAAAGCCUGAUGCAGCGACGCCGCGUGGAGGAUGAAGGCUUUCGGGUUGUAAACCUCUUUCGCUAUCGAACAAGGCCCGCUUAGGGUGGGUUGAGGGUAGGUGGAGAAGAAGCGCCGGCUAACUACGUGCCAGCAGCCGCGGUAAUACGUAGGGCGCGAGCGUUGUCCGGAAUUAUUGGGCGUAAAGGGCUUGUAGGCGGCUUGUUGCGCAUGCUGUGAAAACGCGGGGCUUAACUUCGCGCGUGCAGUGGGUACGGGCGGGCUUGAGUGUGGUAGGGGUGACUGGAAUUCCAGGUGUAGCGGUGGAAUGCGCAGAUAUCUGGAGGAACACCGAUGGCGAAGGCAGGUCACUGGGCCAUUACUGACGCUGAGGAGCGAAAGCAUGGGUAGCGAACAGG